UACGUAGGGUGCGAGCGUUGUCCGGAAUUACUGGGCGUAAAGAGCUCGUAGGUGGCUUGUCGCGUUGUCCGUGAAAACUCACAACUCAAUUGUGGGCGUGCGGGCGAUACGGGCAGACUGGAGUACUGCAGGGGAGACUGGAAUUCCUGGUGUAGCGGUGGAAUGCGCAGAUAUCAGGAGGAACACCGGUGGCGAAGGCGGGUCUCUGGGCAGUAACUGACGCUGAGGAGCGAAAGCGUGGGGAGCGAACAGG
RNAcentral lists this ribosomal RNA (253 nucleotides) under uncultured bacterium. RNAcentral's name for it is "partial 16S ribosomal RNA". It matches the Rfam family "Bacterial small subunit ribosomal RNA", at positions 524 to 776 of the family's 1533-position model. The record is from RNAcentral.